AUGAAAACAAAUAGAUAAAAUAGAAUUGGAAUAGAGUGCCAGAUGAAGGUUAAUAAAUGUAUUAAUAAAAUGUAUUAAUUCAUUUGAUUACUUUUAUUAUUUUCAUUAAUUUUUAAUUAAUUUACGUUAAAGUAAAUCAAAGGUAAAAUCAGUAUGUUGUGUAUUUCAGACCAUUAUUUUUUAAUAUUAACUCUAAAAUAUCUCAAGGGCAUUCCAGCACAACCUCCAAGAUGAACACUAAACGUAAAUGAAAAAAAACCCCACUACCAACUGAAUAUGGUGGGAAUCUUGUAAAACAAUGAGAAUGAUAUUAUCAGUCCUUACUGAGAGCCAGUUGUGCUUCAGACAAGAGUGACUGAUUAUACUGUGAACUACGUGAACUCGCUGCAGCUCCCUCGUGUGGGUUUCCGCUGCCGCGCAGUGCGCAUGCGCGGUCCCAGCAGCAUCAGUUCCCCAGCGGUCGCCAGAGAGCGAGAGGAGGUAGUGUCUGACUCUGAACCUGCGGCAGCUCUGAGUGUUCCCCUGCUCCUGAUGCACGCGCGGGGCUACUGACCUCAACUGCAACCACAAGCCAUGAAUUACCAACGUGAUCUAUUAGAGUCGAGUCCGAUUUGUCCGUGAAGUCAACAGGCGGUGAUCGUGAUGUACUAUUUACGGAGGAAAGCAGCAUUCUCCAGGUUCAGGUUAAGGCCUACUUGUUAGAUCCCCAUCCUCGUCUCAACGGAGUCGCAUCGUGAUGGCUGAAGACCAGCAGCAGUCUGAAGCUGGAGUAGGACCAGCUUUACCUUCCGCGGUUCAAGGACUGCAAGGGGCUGAGGCGAAUGCGUUGCAGCUAAAAAUAAAGAACUCGAUCUGCAAAACCGUACAAUCAAAGGUGGAUUGCAUUUUGCAAGAUGUGGAGAAUCUUACAGACAUUGAAAAACUCUACCUCUAUCUGAAGUUGCCUUCUGGACCCAGCAGUGGCAAUGAGAAAAAUGAGCAGAGCUCCAUGUCAUCAAGUCGUACCCAGCAGUUGCAUGCAUUUAGCUGGAUUCGCAACCACCUUGAGGAGCAUCCUGAAACCUCGCUGCCUAAACAAGAAAUUCUUUGUGACUUUGGAAAGAUCAUGAAGAACGUCUUUCCCAACAUGAAGGCACGUCGACUUGGCAUGCGAGGCAAAUCCAAAUAUCCUUCAGUGGAAAUUUUUAAGGCUUUUGUACACAUGCCAUCUCUUCCCAACCUAGAUCUUCACAAAUCAGGUGAUGGGUGUGAAGUGUUUGAACCUACUGGUCAACUGUCCAGUGCAGAAGACGAGGUGCGCAUGGCCGCAUGUGGGUUGGUGUGCGAGUGGGCACAGAAAGUGCUGAGUCGGCAGUUUGACAGCGUUGAGGAUCUGGCUCGAUUUCUUUUGAACAGCCACUAUAUUGGAACUAAGUCUGUGGCUGCUCUUACUGUGAUGACCGGUUCCCCCUCAGGAGCAAAAUUGUCCAUUCAGUCAUCUCCUCAGGUUAAAACCCUGGUCUCACCCUCAGUAGAUGCCAAACAGCAGCUACAAAGGAAGAUCCAGAAGAAGCAGCAAGAACAGAAACUGCAUUCUCCACUCCCUGGUGAAGCUCAGGCCAGGAGGGCAGAUGGGGGCAUAACUCCUGGGGCAGGGACAGGCAUACCCUGUGGAAGUCCUGCUCUUCUCUCACCUCAACCUAUUGGGAUUGUGGUUGCAACUGUUUCCAGCCCUAUCACGGUUCAGAGGAGCAGGCAGUUGUUGUCUCCUAGCCCUGUUCCCAUGGGAGCUGCAGACAGCAAAGUUCUUCCUGUAAACUUUCAAGUGGUUACCCAGUCAGUGCAGCCUGUGAAGCAGUGCCCCAAGACACCUCAUAAUAUCUCGGCUAGUCCGAUAAGUGACCGGUCAGCCCGUCAUCGGUAUGCCCAAAUCCUGCCCAAGCCAUCUGCCUCAAGUGGCAUAACCCUGCGCUCACCAACAUUGCUUAUUACCAACAGCCCCAUCAAGACAGUAAUGUCAACUCCGCAUGUCAGUUCGGUCAAUGUAGUCAAGAUGACGACCAUAUCUCUAGGCUCUAAUGGCAGUGGGACCAGCACACCAGCCGAUAGCCCUGCCAGCAACAAAGUCAGACCCGCAUCUGCUGGAGUUGCCAGCCUCAAUGAUGAUCCACAGCCAGUUACGCGUGUUCGCAGUGGGUCUAUAGCUGUAAUGCCAUCUGUUUUGGCAAGGUCAGGCCGCUCAACAUCCAUGACCCCUGUCAUCGACACUAAAACAAAUACUGAAGCCAUAAUUGGAAGUGGUCAAGAGCACGGUGGUACAAGUAGACUGGCAACCACUCUGGACACCAUUGGUGGUGUACAGCGGUCAGGGAUAUUCAAACCAAGAGCGGCUAGCGUACCCACUCCUCUUGACAAGGGCUCUCUGGGAUUGGACACUCUAACAGGGACCAAAUGCAGUGAGAGGACACUCCUUAGUGUCAAAACUCUGUCUGCUGGCAGCAAUAAUAUGUCCAACACUAAUGAAAGCACUUUGUACCAGAACACAAGUAGCACUCAGUCAAACAGUGGUAAUGCGGUUGUGACAUCACCCAAAGAUGCAGUGUUGGCAUCCAAGAGCCCUCACAAAAGACCUGGCUUAUGCACUGAUUUGAGCCCAACACCUGUUAAAAAAGCCCACAUUUCUGUGCUACCAGCAGGUGGAACCGAUGGACUGAAGUCGAAUGUAAUGGCGAAGCAAAAUCCAAGAUCAAGCACUCCUAUAAAGACAGAAAGUGCACCUCUCACAGCCACAGGCAAAGCUACUGCAUUUUCUGUCACCUCUACAGCAGGUCAGGAUACUUCAGUGGGGAAUACCAUGUUUCAGACUGUUUGCAGACCCCGAAGCAUCUCCCAAGGGAGAUGGGAAGGAUCUUCAACAGGUGUUGAAGGUAGAGCUGUGGUCACCCGAACUGUUAGCGCUCCAGGUCAGGCUUUGCUACAACAAGUAACCAAAAACUCAAAGGAUUUGCUUCUAGACCAGUCUGACUCUUCUGCAGCAUAUGAACUGAAGAGUGUAUUUUGGGAUAGUGAGCUGCAAGAUGCUACUCAACAACAUCAGGAACCCCUUCCUGCAAUUGCUCAAGCCUCUCCUUCCAACCAGCAGGCUCAAAUGGGUGACUAUAGAACCCAGGCCAACCUAAGCUACUUUCCGUUUGAUGAUGACAUGACUCAGGAUAGCAUUGUUGAGGAACUUGUACAAAUGGAAGAGCAGAUGAAAAUUAACAAUAGCAUACAAAAUUUCAGCAACUGUGUGGAUAAUGCACUGCAAGGCCAGCAACAAACCAUGCAGACUACCAUGAUGUCUACCCUCCAGACCAACACCCUGUAUUACAGCUCUGCUCAUAGCAGCAGCACCCCAAUCCAAACACCCACUCCUACACCUACUCCCACUUCUGAGAUGAUAGGAAGUGGUCAGGGUAUGAUGCACGAAAGCCCCUGUUCGCGCUUAGCCCCAACCACUCCGGUCGACAGCGCUCUUGGAAGUAGUCGACAAACACCUAUUGGCACGCCCCACUCCAACUGCAGCAGUAGUAUCCCACCAAGCCCUGUGGAAUGCAGGAACCCUUUUGCCUUUACUCCUAUUAACUCCAGUAUCACUGGAUACCAUGAUGGAAGUACCGUCUCCUCAAGCCCUGUCAAGCCCAUGCAAAGACCAAUGGCCACACAUCCAGAUAAGACUAAACUGGAAUGGAUGAACAGUGGGUACAGUAACAGUGGUGGGAACACCAACAAUGGCAUUAGCAUUCUGCCCAGCUACCGAGACCUAGUAGAUGACCACUUUCGAAAGCCUCACGCCUUUGCCAUCCCGGGCCAGACCUGUCAGUCGCAACCCAGAUAUCAUGAAACUCAUAUCAGCCGCUUGACACCCAUUUCGCCUGUCCAACAGCAAGUGGCAAGCAUGGCUAGCCUCAACAAGAAAGAGGGUUUUGCUGUUCCAGCACCCCUUGACAACAAGGCCAGCUCAGGGUCCGGAACAUUUCGAUGCCGCAGCGUUAGCCCAGCAGUCAGGCAGCGCAACUUGAGCGGGACCCAAAAUCCCAAUGUUCCCCACUCUGUGGUCUCUCCUUUCAACUCACCUGUAACACCUGAAGUGCUAAACAUCUUUUCUAACAGUGACCCUGAUGCAAGCAUCAGCAGCAUGGCACAGAGGAGUCAGUCUGUUCCAGUCACAGUGAUGAUGCAGUCUGAGGUUCUACCCAUGCAAGCAGGCCAGCAGAUGAAUACCAAAAACAUCACCAAUGUCCUCAUCAACAAAAUGGAUGGCGAAGGAGAUGACUCUGUGCGUGGCAUCGGAAUCAACAACAUGCCGUCCAACUACACUGCCCGCAUGAAUCUCACCCAGAUUCUAGAGACCACCACAGUGCCCAGCUUUCCUGGUAGUGCCAGCCACCAAGCUCUGAUCUCGCCUUGUUCAUCAGCCUUUGAGUCCCAGAAGCCUGCUUACCUCAUGAAAAAUGCCAGAGAGGAGCCAAUGAGCUUCUCUGUAGACGAAAGCCAAGCACAAUCAGCCUCAAGGGAGCACCAGCCGCGUCAACAACAGCAGCAGCAGCACUUAGGUAGACGGCAGUUCCUUGGGCAGGAACAACAGAGUCAGGCCAUGCUGUUGCCUCUACAGCAAAACCUCCAACAACAUCAGCACCAGCAGCCCUUGGAUUUAGACAGAACUGUUAAAGAUCUUUUACAUGAGGAAAGCUUGAAUUCUGGCUCACAGCUUGUGGGUCAAGGAUCAGAGCUCCGUGCUGGGAGUUCAGAGUUUCCCAGCGAUAUGCGACUAACCUCUGAGCUUACCGGUAGCAUAAGUGACUUAAAUACAUUGGACACCAACCUUCUUUUUGACCCCAGUCAACAGCAAGGACAAUAUGAAGACUCGACACUGGAAGAACUGAAGAACGACCCACUUUUUCAACAGAUAUGCAGCGAGACUGUGAAUUCUGCGGGCUUUGACUGGUUGGAGAGCAAAGACCAGGCAACAGUGGAAAUGUUGGGUUAA
Cyprinus carpio (common carp) is the source of this 5008-nucleotide long non-coding RNA. The record is from Ensembl. Lineage: Eukaryota; Metazoa; Chordata; Actinopteri; Cypriniformes; Cyprinidae.